This 253-nucleotide ribosomal RNA is filed under the name uncultured bacterium. Its description in RNAcentral is "partial 16S ribosomal RNA". It matches the Rfam family "Bacterial small subunit ribosomal RNA", at positions 524 to 776 of the family's 1533-position model. The record is from RNAcentral.
UACGGAGGGGGCUAGCGUUGUUCGGAAUUACUGGGCGUAAAGGGCGCGUAGGCGGCCUGUUAAGUCGAACGUGAAAUCCCCGGGCUCAACCCGGGAACUGCGUCCGAUACUGGCAGGCUUGAGUGUGGCAGAGGGGGGUGGAAUUCCACGUGUAGCAGUGAAAUGCGUAGAGAUGUGGAGGAACACCGAUGGCGAAGGCAGCCCCCUGGGCUAACACUGACGCUCAUGCACGAAAGCGUGGAGAGCAAACAGG